This 506-nucleotide ribosomal RNA is filed under the name uncultured bacterium. RNAcentral's name for it is "partial 16S ribosomal RNA". It matches the Rfam family "Bacterial small subunit ribosomal RNA", at positions 30 to 523 of the family's 1533-position model. The record is from RNAcentral.
AUUGAACGCUGGCGGCAGGCCUAACACAUGCAAGUCGAACGGUAACAGGAAACAGCUUGCUGUUUCGCUGACGAGUGGCGGACGGGUGAGUAAUGUCUGGGAAACUGCCUGAUGGAGGGGGAUAACUACUGGAAACGGUAGCUAAUACCGCAUAACGUCGCAAGACCAAAGAGGGGGACCUUCGGGCCUCUUGCCAUCGGAUGUGCCCAGAUGGGAUUAGCUAGUAGGUGGGGUAACGGCUCACCUAGGCGACGAUCCCUAGCUGGUCUGAGAGGAUGACAGGCCACACUGGAACUGAGACACGGUCCAGACUCCUACGGGAGGCAGCAGUGGGGAAUAUUGCACAAUGGGCGCGAGCCUGAUGCAGCCAUGCCGCGUGUAUGAAGAAGGCCUUCGGGUUGUAAAGUACUUUCAGCGGGGAGGAAGGGAGUAAAGUUAAUACCUUUGCUCAUUGACGUUACCCGCAGAAGAAGCACCGGCUAACUCCGUGCCAGCCGCCGCAGUAA